AGUGAACGCUGGCGGUAGGCCUAACACAUGCAAGUCGAACGGCAGCACAGUAAGAGCUUGCUCUUACGGGUGGCGAGUGGCGGACGGGUGAGGAAUACAUCGGAAUCUACUAUUUCGUGGGGGAUAACGUAGGGAAACUUACGCUAAUACCGCAUACGACCUACGGGUGAAAGCAGGGGAUCUUCGGACCUUGCGCGAUUGAAUGAGCCGAUGUCGGAUUAGCUAGUUGGCGGGGUAAAGGCCCACCAAGGCGACGAUCCGUAGCUGGUCUGAGACGAUGAUCAGCCACACUGGAACUGAGACACGGUCCAGACUCCUACGGGAGGCAGCAGUGGGGAAUAUUGGACAAUGGGCGCAAGCCUGAUCCAGCCAUACCGCGUGGGCGAAGAAGGCCUUCGGGUUGUAAAGCCCUUUUGUUGGGAAAGAAAAGCAGCAGGUUAAUACCCCGCUGUUCUGACGGUACCCAAAGAAUAAGCACCGGCUAACUUCGUG
RNAcentral lists this ribosomal RNA (492 nucleotides) under uncultured bacterium. Its description in RNAcentral is "partial 16S ribosomal RNA". It matches the Rfam family "Bacterial small subunit ribosomal RNA", at positions 29 to 507 of the family's 1533-position model. The record is from RNAcentral.